GGGAAUGUGUGGGGGGCAGCCGCGGUAAUAGGAGGUGGUGAACGGUGAAUUUGAAUUAGAGGGGUUAAAGCGGGAGGAGGGGGUUUGGUGAGAUGGAUGGGCAAUCCCCGGUGCCAACCGGGGAACUUCGUCACUAACUGCCUGGAGAGAGUACGGUAGAGGGUGGUGGAAUGGCCUGUGUAGCGGUGAAAGGCGUAGAUAUAGGAAGGAACACCAGGGGCGAAGGCGACCACCUGGACUGAUACUGACACUGAGGUGCGAAAGCGUGGGGAGCAAACAGGAUUAGAUACCCCGGUAGUC
RNAcentral lists this ribosomal RNA (300 nucleotides) under uncultured Desulfurobacterium sp. RNAcentral describes it as "bacterial SSU rRNA". The stretch from base 53 to 300 matches the Rfam family "Bacterial small subunit ribosomal RNA", at positions 548 to 795 of the family's 1533-position model. Lineage: Bacteria; Pseudomonadati; Aquificota; Aquificia; Desulfurobacteriales; Desulfurobacteriaceae. The record is from RNAcentral.